UGCUUGCAAAAGAGGGCCGACUUGGUUAUGAUGGCAGGCACAAUCUGUUGUUUUACAUAAAAAAAAGCAUGCAAAUGGUCAGUUCUUUGAUGUUGACAAUCUGCAUUCACUAAUUGAUGCAUAUAGGCAUUACCUUGUUGAUGAAAAAGUCUCUCAUAACUGGUUUGCUCACACUUUCUAUGGGCUUUUGCUCUAGAGUUCCAGCCACCCUGUUCUUACUUGAUCUUUUUGCUGCCACCAUCUCUGUAAAUGGGAAUAUGCCUAUCUUCCCAUCAAAUAUAAUGCUGCCAUCUGCAGCAAAUAGUGGUCGGCACACUGCAGAUAUGAACAUCACCUUUUUUAUGAAGUUCUUGUUCUUGCAUGUUCUAUGUGGUUCAGCCUCUGUUGGUGUUAAAUAGAACCUGUGAGAACUCUUUGUUAAGUAAAACCAUUUCUCAUCUACGUGUACAAUGUUUUGCAUGCUCUUGAACCUCAAGUUAUGUGACAGCCUGCCCAUCUCUAUUGCAUCUAAGCAAAACCUCAACCUUAACAGCUUAUUUUGGGCUGUAAGGUCAGGUCUUAGUGCACUCGUGUGAGCUUUGAUCAGACCUUGAUCUAUCCACCGACCUACGGUGCUCUUGCUGCAAUUUAUUCCAUUAGCUAGUCUCCUUAUGGUGGACCUCUUUGUUAAAUCUAAACUUGCAAUUAGCUCUAGGUCUAUUUCAACUCUUUUUCUUCUUGGUCUUGCUAUCUUCUUACUUGAUGAAUUUAUGGCAUGCCCUUGAUUUUGUUGUUGUUUUGCCUCAGCCCAAAUGCGCGAAACAGUUCGCCGGCAGACGUGGAACUUCUCCUCCAUAGCUUUCAUCUUCCCUCUUGGUGGCUUUCCAUUUUUGCUUUCAAGAAGAAGGAAUUGAAGCAUUGAAGACCUCUCCUCUGUUGUUAAAUCCUUUCUUCUCAUCUUUUUUUUUUGGCACUUGUUCUGCUCGCUUGAACAUGAAAAAAUGGUGAGCAAACAAACAAAUGCUCUGUAUAUAUAGCUGAUGUUGGACGCAUAUUGUAGCAAUUUCAAAUUUAUGGAAUGAAAUGAUUAAGUUUGGCCCACCAUUUCUGCCGCCUUUUUUUUCCCUCUAUUUUGCCGUGUUUUAGCAACAGUUACUGUUCCCAAUUCAUAGUUAAUCUAAUAAACAAUUCAAUCACAUUAAAUAAAGCAUUUUAAAAUUAAUUUAAAUUGUUGAAUUAAUUUAAAAGACAUUUUAUUAGUCACUUUAAUUAGUUAAUAAAAUAACAUUAAAUAAAGCACUAAUUCUGUGGUCCCUACUACUUUUACAUCUAAUUCAACUCUCCUUAAUUCCCGUGCCCAAAAGCAAGGAGACUUGAUUAAUGGGACGGAGGGAGUACUAUAUAGUUAUGCCCUAAUAAAUUGCUUAAUUUAAUAUUAGUGGACCAAAACCUUACGCUUUACCAGCCUAGCAACUCAUUAUGCGGAUGAUGGUGGGCCGAUUAAUCUUCUAUAUCCUUUUUUUAAUUGUGGAAUUGCUUUGACCUUUCUCUCUAAUCUCUCUUCUCUCUUUAAAAUAAAUUAUUAUUUUAUAAAAUCUUUGUUUUAUUUAUUGUUUUUACUUAGUUUUAAAAUUUAAAUUUUUUAACUCUUUAAAUUUUAAUUAUUGUAUUGUAUUUUAAUUAAUGUAAUGUUUGAAUUUUAAUUUUAAUAAAAUAUUAAAUUUUAAAAUAAAAAAUAAAAAUGAGAUUAAAUGAAAAUGGAGAUUAAUGCCAAUGCACUCGAGAGGGGUGUUGCUAAGGUGGAGACCACCAAUUAUCACCACCUCUAAGCGUCAAGGAUCGGAGAUGCUCUAAUAGCUGCAAAAUCAGCAUAAUGUAGACCCAAAUCAUAAUCAUCUUCAUCUUGACAAUCAGCAUAAUGUAGACCCAAAUCAUAAUCAUCUUCAUCUUGACAAUCAGCAUAAUGUAGACCCAAAUCAUAAUCAUCUUCAUCUUGACAAUACGACAAACAAUAUUUGUAUUGCAAAUACAGAUCUCCAACCCAUACUACAGCCUGGAUCAUUGGUCCAAUGUCUUACUGGCUACUGCUUAUUACAACCCAUCAUCUUAGCGACGUUAUAUUGUUUGAGAGAGAGAGGGAAAACAUCACAUUUCUUCUUUUACCAGUUCUGGAAUGAUAGAAUCAAAGCAAAUGCAAAUAAAAGGGUCCCAUAAAUUCCCCCCCCCCCCCCUCACUCACUCUAGAACUAGAACGAAUUCUUGAAAAGAAAACCAACCAGUAAUUGACAAAAUGUACAUCUGGAGCAUGCAAAAGAUAAUACUUUUUUUUUCCCUCAUGAAUUAUCUAAAGGAAAGAAGAGAACUAACUCUAGGACCCUAUUAGCAGCAACGAGCAUUAUAUCUUCUUGGCAUCAUCUUCCAGCGGAUCACGUAGAGUUCCGAACAUCCAGUCCAUCCAUAUUGUGUAGUGACCAUAGUNAGCUCUAGGUCUAUUUCAACUCUUUUUCUUCUUGGUCUUGCUAUCUUCUUACUUGAUGAAUUUAUGGCAUGCCCUUGAUUUUGUUGUUGUUUUGCCUCAGCCCAAAUGCG
This 2568-nucleotide long non-coding RNA is filed under the name Salvia miltiorrhiza (redroot sage). RNAcentral describes it as "long non-coding RNA (SMIL_LNC008273)". Lineage: Eukaryota; Viridiplantae; Streptophyta; Magnoliopsida; Lamiales; Lamiaceae. The record is from RNAcentral.